This 286-nucleotide ribosomal RNA is filed under the name uncultured bacterium. RNAcentral describes it as "partial 16S ribosomal RNA". It matches the Rfam family "Bacterial small subunit ribosomal RNA", at positions 9 to 280 of the family's 1533-position model. The record is from RNAcentral.
GAGUUUGAUCGUGGCUCAGGAUGAACGCUAGCGACAGGCUUAACACAUGCAAGUCGAGGGGCAGCGGGGAGGUAAGCUUGCUUAUCUCCGCCGGCGACCGGCGCACGGGUGAGUAACACGUAUGCAACCUGCCCAUGACAGGUGGAUAACCGGGAGAAAUUCCGACUAAUACAGCAUAACACCUUCGAGGGACAUCCCUUAGAGGUCAAAGGAGGCGACUCCGGUCAUGGAUGGGCAUGCGGCGCAUUAGGUAGUUGGUGAGGCAACGGCUCACCAAGCCGACGAU